Long non-coding RNA from Peromyscus eremicus (cactus mouse), 6962 nucleotides. RefSeq lists it as uncharacterized. The transcript is spliced from 3 exons. Lineage: Eukaryota; Metazoa; Chordata; Mammalia; Rodentia; Cricetidae. The record is from RefSeq and is a predicted model, not a curated record.
GGAGACUGCGGCUCCGGGGAGGUUUCGGGUCCCCGCGACACCCCGCCGUGUCCUCCGCACCCAGGUCUGCACCACGCGGUUUCCCACCGUGCAGGACCUGGAGCAGCGACAGGGAACCGGCACUUGGCACUUCUGGCUUCGGCUCCUCCGCCCAAUUAACCUGCCUCAGUAGCGCCCCUUCCCAGCUUCCGUUAUGUUACUCCUCUAUACACCCCUCCACUGCCUCAUCAACGGCCAAUAACCUCCUCCAACCGCUAUUUCCGGGUGAGUGUCCCCGCCUCUGUGAGCCCGGUCCCUCCCACUCGGUCUCAGGCUGCCUUCCACCCAGCUCCAGCUGUCAGGCUGCCCUGGACCCGCUCUGCACAGCCUCCCCACAUGCUCGCUGCCAGCCUGGACCAGGACUGCAUCUAGGAGGACGCUGCACCCCGAUAUCUGACCCCUACAGUGAGUUCCGAGCCCUUCAGAUGAAACACAGGCCGCCGAACCUCGACUUGACUACAUGACUCCUGGGCUUCAAUUUACAGAAAAUAUAACCCGCUAAAUGCAGAUGCCAGCGUCCCAUCGCCAACACAAACAUGACAAGCCAAAACCAAAUACUGCAAUAGAGCCUUGGGGAGAGACCUUUCAGGAACUUGGAUUUUGAAAAGAAUUAGGUGUCUCAAGAAAUCAGUGAUUAGUCCAUUGCUAACAGCCCAGGGCUAAGUACAUCCCGCGCUGUACUGCUCUCCCUACUAGAUAGUAGCCUUGCCAUUUUAUUAACUCAGAAACAAGUUUGUCUUCUGUAACUCACGCUAAAGGUGCUUUGAGAUACAACUGAAAAAAUUUCUUUGGCGGAAAAAUGUAAUGCUGAUUGCACAGACUGUUAGCUGUUCUUGUUGAAGAAAAUAAGGUUUGUGGUCCCAGUCCUAAAAAUGUCAGUUACACCGUCCCAUCUGUGGCUCUGGGAGUGUUGAGUAUGAAGAGGUGGAAAAUAAAUAAGAAGAGAAAGAGGAGGAAGGGCUAAGACAUGCCCUUCUCUAGACUCCACACAGCUGUUGUAAUCAGUAACCAACAGCAGCUGUACUGACCUGCAUGGACCUCACACUAGACCACAAUCAGUCUAGGAAAGGGAAAGGCUCACAGGGCACACCCUUUACCUCUCAAAUGUUGGCAAUAGAUGCAUUGUAGAAGAAUCACUGCCUUUAGCUGCAGUCCUCUGCUGAGCCAACCAGUUUCUGACACAUAUCUGUAAACCCACAGUCUCACAGAUGGCCCUGGUUAAUCUCAGUGGGGCCCAAAGCAAACUGAAUGGAGAUGAACACAACAGAGAUUUGUUGGAAUUGUGAACCAGGAUAGUAGGGAGGUAGGAGGUGAGAGUGGGCAGUGUUUGAGACACACACACACAGAACUAAUAAUAUUUUUUUUUAAAUGACCAGCUCAGUCUGUAAUUUCUUUUUGGUUGUAUCAGUGCCUGGUUUAAUAUCAGGUAAUACUAAGAUCAGGAAGUCUUCCUUUAUGUGUCAAGAAGUAUUUUAAGUAGCUUUGCUGUUCUUCUUUGUAGUUCUGAUGGAAUCCUGUCAAUCUGGUCAUGAGGUUGUCUUAAGGGGGCAUUUUAUUCCUGCUUCAGUCUCAUGGCUACUUGUACUUCUGUUUACAUUAUUUAUAUCAUGUUGUUGACAUUUGGUAGGUAUGUUGUAUGCACCUGGAAACUCAUCUAUUUCCAUUAGAAAUAGUUUCCAUUAGUUUCCAACUCAGUAGAAUAGAAGUCUUAAUGUUAGUAGACAUAAGAUCCACUUUUUUUUUUUUUUUUGUCGGAGCUGAGGACCGAACCCAGGGCUUUGUGCUUGCUAGGCAAAUGCUCUACCACUGAGCUAAAUCCCCAACUCCAAGAUCCACUUUUUAACUCAUUUCAAGUAGGCUGUGCAGUUAACUUGGUAAUUGUUAUCACAUGGGUAACAAAAAGUUAUGAUGUUCAUAAAAAAGUUAUGAAAUGGAUAACAACAAGUUAUAUAUAGUUGGGCAAGGUCAUGCAAGCCUUUGAACCCCAGCACACAGGAGGCAGGGGCAAGGGGAACUCUGAAUUCAGUGGCAGCCUGGUGUGCAUAUUGAGUCUAGGACAGCUGGCAAUACACAGAGAGACCCUGUCUUAAAAUAAAGUCAAGUCCUUCCCGAGAAAUAGCUUUCAUGGCACCAGAAGCACCAUAUAAACUCCCAGAGGAGGGAGCUAAACAACAGUCCUAACCAGCUAUGAUGCCUAUGAACCACAUCAAUGAUCAUCCUGGCACAACUGCCCUAAGGGUGCAGCAGUGGCAAGCAUAACUUCGUGGUAAGAAACAGCUCUCUAGUUGGAUGACUGGUGCUGGUGAAGUGGUGAAUCUUGGAGGAGAACCUGCAACCACCACUUUAUUAAACCAGCGUAAUCCCUAACAAGAAUCUAAAUAUUUUUCCCUGUGACCACAAAUAAGCAUAGUCUUCACCCCUCAUCAGGAACCUUCUCUUUGCAACAGACAGAGGCCACUACAAAAACAAACAAACAAACAAACAAACAAACAAACAAACAAAAAAACCUCACAACUAAUCAAAUGCAGAGUUGUGGACGCCACUCAUUGGAUUACAUCUACAAAACACUCCUGUAACUAAGGCUAAAGGAAUAUUUUUGAAGAGGGGGUAGAAAGAUUGUAAGAGCCAGAAGAUCAAGGAGUUUGCUGUGGAGUUGUGUUUCCUAGUAAGACCAGAAUCAACACCCAUAAAAUCUUUCCAACAUGACUGCCCAACGGGAACUGAUCAAGGACAACAACAAUGGACAUGCCAAAGUGGAUGGGGGAAGCCCACAAGCCCUCAACCACACACAGGGAACUACAGGCAACUGGGGAAUGCUGGGAGCAGGAGAAAUGGUGUCUCUCAGAGAAGGGCAAACCAACUGAUUAUCUAAUACCAAAUGGGCCUUCCUCCAAGAUGAAAGAGUUGAAUCUCAGAGGAAGCUUAUACAUAGUAACCACUCCUUUUUGUUUUGUGUUCAAGUAGUAUACUACACAAGAAGCCAGGAAGCAGGAAGAGAGGGUGGUCAACGAGCAACGACUAAAUCAGAGCUCUCAGUAGUCAACAAUUUUCAUUCAUGAUACUUGGAUUCUCAGAGAAACAGAAUGAAAUUCCUCAAGGUUGAUCAAACAAUUAAUUGUGGAAUCAGUAAUUAGCUUUUAUUCAGCAAGAAAGGGUACAGUUCAGAAGACCCAAUUCCUUUUAAGAUUAAAGACUUACUUAAAAGAAAUCAAAGGGUUUAUUUUUGUUUUCAGAUACCAUAAAGUUUUUUUCUACUAACAAGCUUUCCCUAGUCUCCUGUUGUUUCCAAGACAGCUAAUCAGAGCUUAUUUUAUAGUGUAAAGAGUCAGAACAAACAAAAGAUGGGUUAGGAAUUCUACAAGCAAAAUGUUCUCACCCACGGAGACCAGGUUGCUGUAAUUCUCCAACAUCACAUCAAUGUACAAAGCCCUCUGAGCAGAGUCCAGGCAUUCCCACUCCUCCUGGGAGAAGUCCACAGUCACAUCCUUGAAUGUCAACAGACCCUGAAAUUAAAAAAACAGUUUAACUGGGUGUGGUGGUGCAUGCUUUUAAUCCCAGCAUUCAAGAAGCAGAGGCAGGCAGAUCUCUGUGAGUUGGAGGCCAGCCUGGUCUACAAAGUGGAUUGCAGGACAGCUAGGGCUGUUACACAGAGAAACCCUGUCCCCAAAAGAAAAUAAACAAACAAAAAAGUACAGAUGACCAAGUGGUACCAGACAGAGUACUUUUCUAGAUAUAAGGAAACUUAAGGAAAUUAGUGAUGUAAAUGAGCGCAAACAAUUAUUCAAAAGGAUGAUCUUUCACAUAGUCACAUUCUGUAAUGGAUUUUCUAACUCUGUGAAAACAGGAUGAAACAAUAGUCUUACAAGCAGUAUAUAAGAAACAAGAAAUAUAUUUAAGGUCUGGACAUGGUUAUCUAUCUGUUAUGGAUGCUGUGUUUAUGUCACAUAGGAUCACAGCAGACAUGUCUUAGGGGGAAAAUUCAUGAUGACAAAAUGUGUUUUAAAUGCUGUACCUGUAGAUCAUGCUAAAACACUGACACAUAUCAAUCCUGUAUGUACUUGGGUCUUACAUGACUAUUCUAACAGGCUCAGUUGGGAUGUUUAAACUCUAGGUACAAUGCCACACCAUUAAAUAGCAAAUGGGUAGGUAUGGUAGGCAGACAUUAUAACUGACAUUAUAGGUAGAAGUUUUGGACUUUUUUCCUCAGUAACAAGGAGCAUAACAACACUGCAUGCUGCCGAAAUUAAUAUAUGAGAUAGAUAGUUCAUGUAAUUAAUUUUAUGAGGCUAUUUGGGCCACUACCAAGCAGAUAGAAAAAUCUGCAUCAGCCACAUUGAUAUAAUCUAAAAUUUAACUAAAAUAUAGGAAUAAGGCGAAUUAGACAAAUAACAAUGUCAGAAGUUUUCAAUAAUAUUUCACCCCCCAAGAGUUGUAAAAAUUUAUGGAAGUCCAAAAACAUACCAAAUAAUGUUUAAGUUGCAAGUAAGCAUGUAUAUGUAAGUGUAGUAACUGUGGAUCCAUUCAGAAGUGACAGAAAUUUCCUGUGAGUAAAUGGAUAUAUUAAAGUGUGUGGGAAUUAUAGCCACCUUUCAGUGCUUUGCAAAUAUGAAAGAGCACAGAAGGAUGGCUCAGGAGAAAAUCUGAGCUACUGUGUCUGAAUGUGUAGUCCUCAAUGUGUUCCUUUUUACUACUUAUGCUGUAUUGUCUAACAGAUUUUAGGUCAGUAGUGUUUAUGAUUCUUCCUUUAUUUGUCUGGAAAUGGAAAGUGGUGACAUAUUCUGUCUGAGCCAUGAGGCAGGGAUAGAAAUUCAAACCUGGCUGUCAGAGCCUAUUCCUCAAAUCUCCACUUUAAAACACUGCAGCUUCAGGGUAUAGGAGUAGAGUCACGACUCUCACAGGGACUGACUAGAGCAAGGCAAUCAUGAGGAAUGUUCAUUCUGCAUGAAAUGUGAUGGUUUAUGCACAUCUAUAAGACAAUGCCCCCAAGACAUUCAUGAUGCAUUCAACAUAGUGCUACGUAAAGUUUCCCAGUCAGAAAGGGCUGCACAGUGGGAUCCUGUUUGGGACAGUGAGAUGGGCCUGGGCCAUGGAUAACACACUGAUAUCUACUGCUUGGGAAGUUACCACUGAGCAUCCUAACCAAGGGAGUGAUGUGAGCAGCAAUUCUUCUGAGACAAAUAGAUAUCAGGUGUCAACAAACACAUGGACGAAUCAACAAUGCUGUGAUAGGAAACACCAAAGAGAAAUACAAGUAGACUACAAGCUGAUAUUACGCUCUAGAACACCAAUUUCAUGGCAUGAUCAAGACACAUAUGCUAGCCAUGUUCCACACUUUCUAGUGUGCUUAACCAAGUGUUAUUUAGUAUUAAGAACCAAGAUUUUUUGCCUACUUUGCUAUCUAUUAAGUGGACAUAACUUACUGUUUUUCUUUCUGGAUUCUCUAUCCAAUUCUGUUAUCUUCCUGUAUAUCUAUCCUCCUGUCUCUCUUAAUUACACACAUUUCUAAGAUGUUGCAGCAACCAGUCCUUGCAUUUCAGAGUGCAUUUUUUAUAAGCACGAUUCAAGGACAUUGCACAGAUUCCAUAAAUGGAGCCUAUAUACUACAUGAGGCCUCACUCAACAAGAUAUAAGGAUAUAGUACAUUCGUUGUAGCAACUGGGCUUCAAUUUUAUUUUUCCCUUGAGACAGAAUUUGGAUAUCCUGGAACUAGCUCUGUAGAAGAGGCUAGCCUUGAAUUCAUAGAGAUCUGCCUGCUUCUGCUUACAAAGUGCUGGCAUUAAAGGUGUGAAGCAUGACCACCAGGCCCCAACAUUUUUUGUUGUUGUUCAUGUGUCACAGAGGAAAUAUUUUCAAAAUUACAGGUCAUAAGUAAAUAUGGGAUGUGUACCCUCAAAACAAAACAAAAUGGGGGGGAGGGGCUGAUAUCUACCAUUUACUGAGAUUUAUACAAAUUAAUUACCAAGGAAAUAAAACUGCUAUUCAAGAAAUGGGUAAAUGAUCUGAAUAGAACUUUGUGAAGAGAGAAAUACAAUGGCCAAUAAAUGUUGCAAAGAGUGUUCAGGAUCCCUAAAAUGCCAUCAUGGAAAAACAAACUAAAUCUACUUUGAAAUACUGCCUCACCCCAGGCAGAGCAUGGCUGUCAUCAACCAAUCUGACAAUAAAUGAUAGAGAUGAUGUGGAGAGAAAAGAACCAUCAUUAACUGUUGGUGUGUGUGUGAGAGUGUAAAUUAAUACAGCCAUUGUGGGAACCAGUUUGGAGGUUAUUGAAAAAAUGAAGAUAGAACUAUUAUAAGACUCAGCAAUGUUGCUCCUAGGGACAUACCCCACUGUAGGAAUAUUUACACCCCAUGUUUAUAGCUGCCGUAUUCAACAUAGCAAAGUAUUGGAAUGAACCUAAUUGUCUAUCAACAGAUGAAUGGAUAAUAAAAAGUGCUAUACAUAUAAAAUAGAAUAUUAUCCAGCUGAAGAGAAAUGUGUAAUAAAAAUCUGCAGGAAAAUAGAUGACUCAAAAUAUAUAAUAUUAAGUGCAGUCAUACAGUAUCAGAGAGAAGAAAUCACAUUUUCCCUCAUAUGAAUAACUUUGCUAUUAAAAUAUAUGGGAAACAACAUACAUGUGGGCAUAGCAGAAUCUGGAAAAAAGAGAACAAGAAAGGUUAACAAUUAUCAGGGCUUGAGGUAGGACUGAAUGCAGGUAAUGAACACCAGUUAUGAAAAAGGAUAUAAAGGGUAUUGCUUUUCUUCUAAUACUGUCAUAGGCUUUUUGGUUUUGUUGGUGGAUGACUACAUCAAAAUAUAUUCAAUUGUGAAAACAUAAAAUUAAAUGUGAGACUCCAGAGCUGAAUUCAAGGCCAGCCUAGUUUACAAGGUGACUUAUAGGACAGCCAGAGAUACACUGAAAAACUCUGUUUUCAAAACAAAACAAA